RNAcentral lists this ribosomal RNA (519 nucleotides) under uncultured Actinomycetes bacterium. RNAcentral describes it as "bacterial SSU rRNA". It matches the Rfam family "Bacterial small subunit ribosomal RNA", at positions 388 to 917 of the family's 1533-position model. Lineage: Bacteria; Bacillati; Actinomycetota; Actinomycetes. The record is from RNAcentral.
GCAGCGACGCCGCGUGAGGGAUGACGGCCUUCGGGUUGUAAACCUCUUUCAGCAGGGACGAAGCGCAAGUGACGGUACCUGCAGAAGAAGCACCGGCUAACUACGUGCCAGCAGCCGCGGUAAUACGUAGGGUGCAAGCGUUGUCCGGAAUUACUGGGCGUAAAGAGUUCGUAGGCGGUUUGUCGCGUCGUUUGUGAAAACCAGCAGCUCAACUGCUGGCUUGCAGGCGAUACGGGCAGACUUGAGUACUGCAGGGGAGACUGGAAUUCCUGGUGUAGCGGUGAAAUGCGCAGAUAUCAGGAGGAACACCGGUGGCGAAGGCGGGUCUCUGGGCAGUAACUGACGCUGAGGAACGAAAGCGUGGGUAGCGAACAGGAUUAGAUACCCUGGUAGUCCACGCCGUAAACGGUGGGCGCUAGGUGUGGGUUCCUUCCACGGAAUCCGUGCCGUAGCUAACGCAUUAAGCGCCCCGCCUGGGGAGUACGGCCGCAAGGCUAAAACUCAAAGGAAAUUGACGGA